AUUGAACGCUGGCGGCAUGCCUUACACAUGCAAGUCGAACGGCAGCGGGGGAGAAGCUUGCUUUUCCUGCCGGCGAGUGGCGAACGGGUGAGUAAUACAUCGGAACGUGCCCUGUAGUGGGGGAUAACUAGUCGAAAGAUUAGCUAAUACCGCAUACGACCUGAGGGUGAAAGUGGGGGACCGCAAGGCCUCAUGCUAUAGGAGCGGCCGAUGUCUGAUUAGCUAGUUGGUGGGGUAAAGGCCUACCAAGGCGACGAUCAGUAGCUGGUCUGGGAGGACGAUCAGCCAAACUGGGACUAAGACACGGACCAGACUCCUACGGGAGGCAGCAGUGGGGAAUUUUGGACAAUGGGCGAAAGCCUGAUCCAGCAAUGCCGCGUGUGUGAAGAAGGCCUUCGGGUUGUAAAGCGCUUUUGUCCGGAAAGAAAUGGCUCUGGUUAAUACCUGGGGUCGAUGACGGUACCGGAAGAAUAAGGACCGGCUAACUACGUGCCAGCAGCCGCCGUAA
Molecule: ribosomal RNA, 508 nt
Filed under: uncultured bacterium
Lineage: Bacteria
Description: partial 16S ribosomal RNA
Rfam family: Bacterial small subunit ribosomal RNA
Source: RNAcentral